AGGUAUAACAUGGUAUAAUAGGUUAUCAUGAUAGUGGUGCAUGUCCGUUUCCAAUGGAUGCUGUGAAGUAAUGAUUAAUUUCAACAAGAUGUGAGACCCUCAUUUAGACAGAUGUAGUGAUACAUAUGAAGGAGAGGAUUAAAACAGGUCCGUUAUGCCCUAAGAUAAUCUGGUUUGCACGCGCAAUACAAUAAUAUUUGAUAUUAUAAGGGAUAAUAUAAUGUAAGAUAUAUUUGAACAUGGAAUUGCUAGUAAAUUUUAUUUAAUAAGUAGAAUUGAAUGAGUCCCUGUUCUUUGUACACACCGCCCGUCGCUAUCUAAGAUGGUAUUAUCUAUGAACAAAUUUAUAAAGUGAAUAGAUAGUACUAGAUCUGAUAUAAGUCGUAACAUGGUUGCUGUUGGAGAACCAUUAGCAGGAUCAUAA
Molecule: non-coding RNA, 424 nt
Filed under: Nosema bombycis CQ1
Lineage: Eukaryota; Fungi; Microsporidia; Nosematidae
Description: Microsporidia small subunit ribosomal RNA
Rfam family: Microsporidia small subunit ribosomal RNA
Source: Rfam by way of RNAcentral